CCCCUCUCAGGGUUGCACCUGGAGAGUUUCCAGUACUCUACCAGUCUGUCUACAGGAGGGAGAGUCAAGCAGAGGUAUACCCAUUACAUUCCUAGCUUGGCCAGUGGCUAGGGAGUGGAAGGCGAUCUGCUACAGGU
This is a small nucleolar RNA of Tachyglossus aculeatus (Australian echidna), 137 nucleotides long. The record is from RefSeq and is a predicted model, not a curated record. NCBI's taxonomy places the organism in Eukaryota, Metazoa, Chordata, Mammalia, Monotremata, Tachyglossidae.